RNAcentral lists this ribosomal RNA (963 nucleotides) under uncultured Bacillota bacterium. Its description in RNAcentral is "bacterial SSU rRNA". It matches the Rfam family "Bacterial small subunit ribosomal RNA", at positions 546 to 1504 of the family's 1533-position model. Lineage: Bacteria; Bacillati; Bacillota. The record is from RNAcentral.
CGGAUUUAUUGGGCGUAAAGGGCUCGUAGGUGGUUGAUCGCGUCGGAAGUGUAAUCUUGGGGCUUAACCCUGAGCGUGCUUUCGAUACGGGUUGACUUGAGGAAGGUAGGGGAGAAUGGAAUUCCUGGUGGAGCGGUGGAAUGCGCAGAUAUCAGGAGGAACACCAGUGGCGAAGGCGGUUCUCUGGGCCUUUCCUGACGCUGAGGAGCGAAAGCGUGGGGAGCGAACAGGCUUAGAUACCCUGGUAGUCCACGCUGUAAACGGUGGGUACUAGGUGUGGGGUCCAUUCCACGGGUUCCGUGCCGUAGCUAACGCUUUAAGUACCCCGCCUGGGGAGUACGGCCGCAAGGCUAAAACUCAAAGGAAUUGACGGGGCCCCGCACAAGCGGCGGAGCAUGCGGAUUAAUUCGAUGCAACGCGUAGAACCUUACCUGGGUUUGACAUGGAUCGGGAGUGCUCAGAGAUGGGUGUGCCUCUUUUGGGGUCGGUUCACAGGUGGUGCAUGGCUGUCGUCAGCUCGUGUCGUGAGAUGUUGGGUUAAGUCCCGCAACGAGCGCAACCCUUGUUCACUGUUGCCAGCACGUUAUGGUGGGGACUCAGUGGAGACCGCCGGGGUCAACUCGGAGGAAGGUGGGGAUGACGUCAAGUCAUCAUGCCCCUUAUGUCCAGGGCUUCACGCAUGCUACAAUGGCUGGUACAGAGAGUGGCGAGCCUGUGAGGGUGAGCGAGUCUCGGAAAGCCGGUCUCAGUUCGGAUUGGGGUCUGCAACUCGACCUCAUGAAGUCGGAGUCGCUAGUAAUCGCAGAUCAGCAACGCUGCAGUGAAUACGUUCCCGGGGCUUGUACACACCGCCCGUCAAGUCAUGAAAGUUGGUAACACCCGAAGCCGGUGGCCUAACCGUUGUGGGGGAGCCGUCGAAGGUGGGACUGGUGAUUAGGACUAAGUCGUAACAAGGUAACCGUA